RNAcentral lists this ribosomal RNA (304 nucleotides) under Staphylococcus capitis. RNAcentral's name for it is "partial 16S ribosomal RNA". It matches the Rfam family "Bacterial small subunit ribosomal RNA", at positions 1 to 294 of the family's 1533-position model. The record is from RNAcentral. Lineage: Bacteria; Bacillati; Bacillota; Bacilli; Caryophanales; Staphylococcaceae.
UUUAUGGAGAGUUUGAUCCUGGCUCAGGAUGAACGCUGGCGGCGUGCCUAAUACAUGCAAGUCGAGCGAACAGACGAGGAGCUUGCUCCUCUGACGUUAGCGGCGGACGGGUGAGUAACACGUGGAUAACCUACCUAUAAGACUGGGAUAACUUCGGGAAACCGGAGCUAAUACCGGAUAACAUGUUGAACCGCAUGGUUCAACAGUGAAAGACGGUCUUGCUGUCACUUAUAGAUGGAUCCGCGCCGCAUUAGCUAGUUGGUAAGGUAACGGCUUACCAAGGCAACGAUGCGUAGCCGACCUG